RNAcentral lists this ribosomal RNA (490 nucleotides) under uncultured bacterium. RNAcentral describes it as "partial 16S ribosomal RNA". It matches the Rfam family "Bacterial small subunit ribosomal RNA", at positions 30 to 507 of the family's 1533-position model. The record is from RNAcentral.
AUUGAACGCUGGCGGCAGGCCUAACACAUGCAAGUCGAACGGUAACAGGAAACAGCUUGCUGUUUCUCUGACGAGUGGCGGGCGGGUGAGUAAUGUCUGGGAAACUGCCUGAUGUAGGGGGAUAUCUACUGGAAACGGUAGCUAAUACCGCAUAACUUCGCAAGACCAAAGAGGGGUACCCUCUGUCCUCUUGCCAUCUUAUGUUCCCAGCUGGGCUUCGUUUGUUGGUGGGGUUACGUCUCCCCAAGUCUGCGAUCGCUAGAUGGUCUGAGAGGAUGACAAGCGACACUGGAACUGAGACACGGACAAGACUCCUAAGGGAGGGAGCAGUGGGGAAUAUUGCACAAUGGGCGGAAGCAUGAUGCAGCCAGGCGGAGUGUAUGAAGAAGGCGUUCGGGUUGUAAAGAACGUUCAGCGGGGAGGAAGGGAGUAAAGUUAAUACCUAGGCUGAGUGACGUUACCCGCAGAAGAAGCACCGGCUAACUACGUG